This is a long non-coding RNA of Scomber japonicus (chub mackerel), 949 nucleotides long. RefSeq lists it as uncharacterized. The record is from RefSeq and is a predicted model, not a curated record. Lineage: Eukaryota; Metazoa; Chordata; Actinopteri; Scombriformes; Scombridae. The transcript has 5 exons.
GGACACGCUGGAGAGACUAUGUCUCUCGGCUGGAACGACCUGGAAGCGAGGAUGAGGACAAUCACAGACCUCAAUGAAAAGGCAUGGCCUGAAACAUAUGCAUCAAGGCCCCUACAAAGUCCUUGAUAUGUCAGAAAAUGGCGUGGCCACCAUCCAAAAGAACACUGGGUCCUUGCAGAAGGUGAAUAUCAAUCGCCUGAGGCCGUACUACAGACAGAAACAUUAACAGUCUAAAGGACUGUGUAGGAGAGAGUGAUCAAAUCUGAGCUGGACAUCUACGUCAAUUGUGUUUAAAUGACAUCGUUCCAGUCUCCACUCUCGAGGUGCAGUUCCAGGGAAGGAAGCUCUUGAGAGGAGAGUGCAGCAUCCCAACACAAGACACUGAGGAAAAGAUGAAGAUGAUCGGGAGACUGCACUGUUGACAAUCAUCCUUCUGCCUUAAGCACCUACAUACCUGUAUGCUCCAGAUUCAGAUUGCUUCAGUCUUUCUCUCUCUCUUUCUCUAUCAACCCCAACCGGUCAAGGCAGAUGGCCGCCCACCUAGAGCCUGGUUCUGCCUGAGGUUUCUUCCCGUUACGGAGUCGCCAAGUGCUUGCUCAUGGGGGGAAUGUUGGGUCUCUUUAAAUUAAAGAGUACAGUCAUAACUUAUGUCCAUCCAUCCAUCUUCUUCCGCUUAUCCGGGGUCGGGUCGCGGGGGCAGCAGCCUAAGCAGGGAAGCCCAGACUUCCCUCUCCCCAGCCACUUCGUCCAGCUCUUCCCGGGGGAUCCCGAGGUGUUCCCACGCCAGCCGAGAGACAUAGUCUCUCCAGCGUGUCCUGGGUCUUCCCCGGGGUCUCCUACCGGUGGGACAUGCCCUGAACGCCUCACCAGGGAGGCGUCCGGGAGGCAUCCUGAUUAGAUGCCCGAACCACCUCAUCUGGAACUUCUUAUGUGAUUACAUAAAAUUGUC